AUUGAACGCUGGCGGCAGGCCUAACACAUGCAAGUCGAACGGUAACAGGAAGCAGCUUGCUGCUUUGCUGACGAGUGGCGGACGGGUGAGUCAUGUCUGGGAAACUGCCUGAUGGAGGGGGAAAACUACUGGAAACGGUAGCUAAUACCGCAUAACGUCGCAAGACCAAAGAGGGGGACCUUCGGGCCUCUUGCCAUCGGAUGUGCCCAGAUGGGAUUAGCUAGUAGGUGGGGUAAAGGCUCACCUAGGCGACGAUCCCUAGCUGGUCUGAGAGGAUGACCAGCCACACUGGAACUGAGACACGGUCCAGACUCCUACGGGAGGCAGCAGUAGGGAAUAUUGCACAAUGGGCGCAAGCCUGAUGCAGCCAUGCCGCGUGUAUGAAGAAGGCCUUCGGGUUGUAAAGUACUUUCAGCGGGGAGGAAGGGAGUAAAGUUAAUACCUUUGCUCAUUGACGUUACCCGCAGAAGAAGCACCGGCUAACUCCGUG
RNAcentral lists this ribosomal RNA (490 nucleotides) under uncultured bacterium. RNAcentral's name for it is "partial 16S ribosomal RNA". It matches the Rfam family "Bacterial small subunit ribosomal RNA", at positions 30 to 507 of the family's 1533-position model. The record is from RNAcentral.